GACGAACGCUGGCGGCGUGCCUAAUACAUGCAAGUCGAACGCUUCCUACCGGUGCUUGCACCGGGAAAGAAGAGUGGCGGACGGGUGAGUAACACGUGGGUAACCUACCUACAAGCGGGGGAUAACAUUCGGAAACGGAUGCUAAUACCGCAUAGAUCUUUUUGUCUCCUGGCAGAAAGAAGAAAGACGGUUUCGGCUGUCACUUGUAGAUGGACCCGCGGCGCAUUAGUUAGUUGGUGAGGUAAUGGCUCACCAAGACGAUGAUGCGUAGCCGACCUGAGAGGGUGAUCGGCCACACUGGGACUGAGACACGGCCCAGACUCCUACGGGAGGCAGCAGUAGGGAAUCUUCCGCAAUGGACGAAAGUCUGACGGAGCAACGCCGCGUGAGUGAAGAAGGUUUUCGGAUCGUAAAACUCUGUUGUUAGAGAAGAACAAGGAUGAGAGUAACUGCUCGUCCCUUGACGGUAUCUAACCAGAAAGCCAUGGCUAACUACGUGCCAGCCGCCGCAGUAAAAC
RNAcentral lists this ribosomal RNA (518 nucleotides) under uncultured bacterium. Its description in RNAcentral is "bacterial SSU rRNA". It matches the Rfam family "Bacterial small subunit ribosomal RNA", at positions 28 to 526 of the family's 1533-position model. The record is from RNAcentral.